AUUGAACGCUGGCGGCAUGCUUUACACAUGCAAGUCGAACGGUAACAGGUUAAGCUGACGAGUGGCGAACGGGUGAGUAAUGCAUCGGAACGUGCCCGAUCGUGGGGGAUAACGCAGCGAAAGCUGCGCUAAUACCGCAUACGCCCUGAGGGGGAAAGCGGGGGAUCGUGAGACCUCGCGUGAUACGAGCGGCCGAUGUCGGAUUAGCUAGUUGGGGAGGUAAAGGCUCACCAAGGCAACGAUCCGUAGCUGGUCUGAGAGGACGACCAGCCACACUGGGACUGAGACACGGCCCAGACUCCUACGGGAGGCAGCAGUGGGGAAUAUUGGACAAUGGGCGCAAGCCUGAUCCAGCAAUGCCGCGUGCAGGAAGAAGGCCUUCGGGUUGUAAACUGCUUUUGUACGGAACGAAACGGUCUGGGUUAAUACCCUGGGCUAAUGACGGUACCGUAAGAAUAAGCACCGGCUAACUUCGUGCCAGCAGCCGCCGAAA
RNAcentral lists this ribosomal RNA (493 nucleotides) under uncultured bacterium. Its description in RNAcentral is "partial 16S ribosomal RNA". It matches the Rfam family "Bacterial small subunit ribosomal RNA", at positions 29 to 523 of the family's 1533-position model. The record is from RNAcentral.